GCAGUCGUGGCCGAGUGGUUAAGGCGAUGGACUUGAAAUCCAUUGGGUUAUCCCCGCGCAGGUUCGAAUCCUGCCGGCUGCG
This 82-nucleotide transfer RNA is filed under the name Dermacentor silvarum. RNAcentral's name for it is "transfer RNA serine (anticodon UGA)". It matches the Rfam family "tRNA". Rfam says of the family: Transfer RNA (tRNA) molecules are approximately 80 nucleotides in length. Lineage: Eukaryota; Metazoa; Arthropoda; Arachnida; Ixodida; Ixodidae. The record is from RNAcentral.